UACGGAGGAUGCGAGCGUUAUCCGGAUUUAUUGGGUUUAAAGGGUGCGUAGGCGGCUUUUUAAGUCAGCGGUGAAAUUUUGCAGCUUAACUGUAACAGUGCCGUUGAUACUGGGGAGCUAGGAUUUGGUUGCUGUGGGUGGAAUGUGUGGUGUAGCGGUGAAAUGCUUAGAUAUUACACAGAACACCGAUUGCGAAGGCAUCUCACAAAGCCGUUAUUGACGCUGAGGCACGAAAGUGUGGGGAUCAAACAGGAUUAGAUACCCCCGUAGU
RNAcentral lists this ribosomal RNA (271 nucleotides) under uncultured prokaryote. Its description in RNAcentral is "partial 16S ribosomal RNA". It matches the Rfam family "Bacterial small subunit ribosomal RNA", at positions 524 to 794 of the family's 1533-position model. The record is from RNAcentral.